This 447-nucleotide ribosomal RNA is filed under the name uncultured bacterium. RNAcentral's name for it is "bacterial SSU rRNA". It matches the Rfam family "Bacterial small subunit ribosomal RNA", at positions 330 to 794 of the family's 1533-position model. The record is from RNAcentral.
UCCAGACUCCUACGGGAGGCAGCAGUGGGGAAUAUUGCACAAUGGGGGAAACCCUGAUGCAGCGACGCCGCGUGAGUGAAGAAGUAUCUCGGUACGUAAAGCUCUCUCAGCAGGGAAGAAAAUGACGGUACCUGACUAAGAAGCCCCGGCUAACUACGUGCCAGCAGCCGCGGUAAUACGUAGGGGGCAAGCGUUAUCCGGAAUUACUGGGUGUAAAGGGAGCGUAGACGGUUAAGUAAGUCUGGAGUGAAAGGCCGGGGCCCAACCCCGGGACUGCUCUGGAAACUAUUCAACUUGAGUGCAGGAGAGGUAAGCGGAAUUCCUAGUGUAGCGGUGAAAUGCGUAGAUAUUAGGAGGAACACCAGUGGCGAAGGCGGCCAACUGGGCUUUAACUGACGCUGAGGCUCGAAAGUGUGGGGAGCAAACAGGAUUAGAUACCCCAGUAAC